The sequence is a small nucleolar RNA, 86 nucleotides long. It matches the Rfam family "A. fumigatus snoRNA Afu_300". The record is from Rfam.
GAACCUGAUGAUCAUUUUUUCGUACAAUGUACGGUUGGAAUUACCGGCUGAAACUUGCUGUUGAAAAAAACUGGCUGUUUCUGACU